CAAUGGGGGAAACCCUGNAUGCAGCGACGCCGCGUGGAGGAAGAAGGUCUUCCGAUUGUAAACUCCUGUUGUUGGGGAAGAUAAUGACGGUACCCAACAAGGNAAGUGACGGCUAACUACGUGCCAGCAGCCGCGGUAAAACGUAGGUCACAAGCGUUGUCCGGAAUUACUGGGUGUAAAGGGAGCGCAGGCGGGAAGACAAGUUGGAAGUGAAAUCUAUGGGCUCAACCCAUAAACUGCUUUCAAAACUGUUUUUCUUGAGUAGUGCAGAGGUAGGCGGAAUUCCCGGUGUAGCGGUGGAAUGCGUAGAUAUCGGGAGGAACACCAGUGGCGAAGGCGGCCUACUGGGCACCAACUGACGCUGAGGCUCGAAAGUGUGGGUAGCAAACAGGAUUAGAUACCCUGGUAGUCCAAGGGCGAAUUC
This 424-nucleotide ribosomal RNA is filed under the name uncultured bacterium. RNAcentral describes it as "SSU rRNA". It matches the Rfam family "Bacterial small subunit ribosomal RNA", at positions 369 to 808 of the family's 1533-position model. The record is from RNAcentral.